Long non-coding RNA from Exaiptasia diaphana, 562 nucleotides. RefSeq lists it as uncharacterized. The transcript is spliced from 3 exons. NCBI's taxonomy places the organism in Eukaryota, Metazoa, Cnidaria, Anthozoa, Actiniaria, Aiptasiidae. The record is from RefSeq and is a predicted model, not a curated record.
AUGAAUAUUCUCUUAAUUAGAUUCAUCAAGCGAUGAUGAUGCUAAGGCAAUGCCGCCUACACAGCAGGCUAAAAAGACGAAGAAGAAAAGCGAGCAGGAAAGAAUAGACGAUCUUGUUGACAAGCUGAAGAAAGAAAAUGGCGACAAUUGGGGUAUAGCAGACUACAGGCUGUGGGCCGUUGCCCUGAAAACUCCACCAGAGUUUCAAAGAACCGCCAAACUACCCACAUUUCAAAAAACAAAAGAAGCAGACUAAAACAGACAAGUGUACUGCAAACAUAAGCACUAGAAAGACACGAACAGAGCUAUUGRAAAAUUUAAAAACUCUUCACGAGCUUCAGCAAUGUGGAAUUCUSACCAAGGACGAAGUGGACAAACAGAAAGCUCAAAUCAUGACGGAAUUAAAUAGUAUAGUAGAAUAAUGAAUGUAAAUAGUUAAACAGAUAAGAAAGGUACCUAUUUAUGAAAGAAAAUUCAUUUGUUCUGGGCUYGAGUAAAACCAUGUAGAUAGUACCCGUAGUUUGUAAAAUGAAWAUGGCUAUCCUAUGACAAAAGAAAAAAU